This 71-nucleotide transfer RNA is filed under the name Ovis aries (sheep). It matches the Rfam family "tRNA". From Rfam's summary of the family: Transfer RNA (tRNA) molecules are approximately 80 nucleotides in length. Their secondary structure includes four short double-helical elements and three loops (D, anti-codon, and T loops). Lineage: Eukaryota; Metazoa; Chordata; Mammalia; Artiodactyla; Bovidae. The record is from Rfam by way of RNAcentral.
UCCCUGGUGGUUCAGUGGUUAUGACUGCACUGCCAAUGCAGGGGGUGUAGGUUCGAUCCCUGGUCAGGGAA